RNAcentral lists this ribosomal RNA (468 nucleotides) under uncultured bacterium. Its description in RNAcentral is "partial 16S ribosomal RNA". It matches the Rfam family "Bacterial small subunit ribosomal RNA", at positions 28 to 507 of the family's 1533-position model. The record is from RNAcentral.
GACGAACGCUGGCGGCGUGCUUAACACAUGCAAGUCGAACGGAAAGGCCCUGCUUUUGUGGGGUGCUCGAGUGGCGAACGGGUGAGUAACACGUGAGUAACCUGCCCUUGUCUUUCGGAUAUUUUCAGGAAACUGGGGCUAAUACCGGAUAGGAUCUUCUGCUGCAUGGUGGGGGUUGGAAAGUUUCGGCGUUUGGGGAUGGACUCGCGGCUUAUCAGCUUGUUGGUGGGGUAGUGGCUUACCAAGGUUUUGACGGGUAGCCGGCCUGGGAGGGUGGACGGCCACAAUGGGACUGAGAUACGGAGCAGAAGCGUACGGGAGGCAGCAGUGGAGAAUAUUGCAGAACGGGCGGGAGCCUGAUGCGGAAACGCCGGGUGCGGGAUGACGGCCUUCGGGUUGUAAACCGAUUUCGCCUGUGACGAAGCGUGCGUGACGGUAAUGGGUAAAGAAGCAACGGCUAACUACGUG